This 467-nucleotide ribosomal RNA is filed under the name uncultured bacterium. Its description in RNAcentral is "bacterial SSU rRNA". It matches the Rfam family "Bacterial small subunit ribosomal RNA", at positions 355 to 825 of the family's 1533-position model. The record is from RNAcentral.
UAGGGAAUAUUGGACAAUGGGUGAGAGCCUGAUCCAGCCAUGCCGCGUGCAGGAAGAAGGCGUUAUGCGUUGUAAACUGCUUUUUGCCAGGGGAUAAAAUGAGCGUGCGCGCUUAAUUGAAGGUACCUGGUGAAUAAGCCACGGCUAACUACGUGCCAGCAGCCGCGGUAAUACGUAGGUGGCAAGCGUUGUCCGGAUUUAUUGGGUUUAAAGGGUGCGUAGGUGGCCCUAUAAGUCAGUGGUGAAAUAUCUCAGCUUAACUGAGAGGGUGCCAUUGAUACUGCAGGGCUUGAGUACAGAUGAGGUAGGCGGAAUUGACGGUGUAGCGGUGAAAUGCAUAGAUAUCGUCAAGAACACCGAUAGCAAAGGCAGCUUACCAAGCUGUAACUGACACUGAGGCACGAAAGUGUGGGGAUCAAACAGGAUUAGAUACCCCAGUAGUCCCUGAGCGGGCUGGCAAGGCGCAU